GACUAGUAACAGCCAACCAUAUCGUGUGACCUCUGGUUCAAGAAAAGGCAGAUUACAGAGACAGGUGUUAUAGAAGCUGUCUAAACGCUGUUUUUCAUAUCCUGAAAAAUAAGUCUUUUUGGUUUUCCAACCUGUUGCUGUUACAGAGGUUUUUUUUUUUUUUUUUACAUUGCUGAACAGGACUUGGCCUUAAGAUUGGGUCGAAUGGUUGUGAGCUGGAGCGAGAGUUAACGACAUUUGUGUGGAACGAGAUGGCGAGCCUCCCAUGGCGGAACUGUGCAUAUGCCGGACUUGGCCUUAAGAUUGGGUCGAAUGGUUGUGAGCUGGAGCCAGAGUUUAAUGACACAUGUGGAACGAGAUGGCGAGCCUUCCACGGCGGAUCUUAUGAACUGUGCAUAUGCCAGAAGUUAAACGGUCUCUGCUAGACUGGAUCUGGAUCUCAUCCAAUCUGGUAGGAUUUACCCACUUUUUUCUGCAGAACAGCAGUGGACUCCAGAUAGAUCCAGAAUUUGCUCAUUCGGACCGAUCUAAGGACUAAGAAACAACAAAAGGACAAUUUAAAACUGUGGUGCACAGUUUUGUUCAGCCUUUUGCUGGAUUAUUUUGGGUUUAUGCAUUCUACUUCUAGCAAGUCCUGAGUUGAACCCUAAAAUUUACUUUUGACCCAGACCCUAAAAUAGGCCAGGUCCGGA
Molecule: long non-coding RNA, 692 nt
Organism: Monopterus albus (swamp eel)
Lineage: Eukaryota; Metazoa; Chordata; Actinopteri; Synbranchiformes; Synbranchidae
Exons: 3
Source: RefSeq, a predicted model, not a curated record